This is a long non-coding RNA of Sinocyclocheilus anshuiensis, 391 nucleotides long. RefSeq lists it as uncharacterized. Lineage: Eukaryota; Metazoa; Chordata; Actinopteri; Cypriniformes; Cyprinidae. The transcript is spliced from 3 exons. The record is from RefSeq and is a predicted model, not a curated record.
GUUUGUAGAUGAUCAUGCUACAGUAUCUAGCGUUGCAUGGGCUUUGAAGAAGCCAUGUACUGUCAUAGUUAUAUAUUGAAUCGUAUUAUUGAAAAAUGACUGUAACCAUAUGAUUUAUCAUGUCAUCUAUGCAAUUGUAGUGGAUUUUCAGGUGUCGUCAACUGGACAAAACAUGAGGACAUUUUUCGAAAGGACUAUCUUUUGAUAGUUGAGAAUGCUCUUGGAAAUCACUGGAGACUCAUGAUUGUGUGCUUCCCUGGAAACGAAGAAGUGGAACACAUCAAAAGGGGGCGAAAACUGGUGCAAAGAAGGAGGCCUUGCAUUUUAAUGCUAGACUCCCAGUCUGAGCAAGUGAGUGACAGCAUGGAUGUGUUCCAAAACAUUCGAAGUU